Molecule: ribosomal RNA, 440 nt
Filed under: uncultured bacterium
Lineage: Bacteria
Description: partial 16S ribosomal RNA
Rfam family: Bacterial small subunit ribosomal RNA
Source: RNAcentral
CCUACGGGAGGCUGCAGUGGGGAAUAUUGCACAAUGGGGGAAACCCUGAUGCAGCGACGCCGCGUGAGUGAAGAAGUAAUUCGUUAUGUAAAGCUCUAUCAGCAGGGAAGAAAAUGACGGUACCUGAGUAAGAAGCCCCGGCUAACUACGUGCCAGCAGCCGCGGUAAGACGUAGGGGGCAAGCGUUAUCCGGAUUUACUGGGUGUAAAGGGAGCGUAGACGGCAGUGCAAGUCUGGAGUGAAAGGCGGGGGCUCAACCCCCGGACUGCUCUGGAAACUGUACGGCUGGAGUGCAGGAGAGGUAAGUGGAAUUACUAGUGUAGCGGUGAAAUGCGUAGAUAUUAGGAGGAACACCAGUGGCGAAGGCGGCUUACUGGACUGUAACUGACGUUGAGGCUCGAAAGCGUGGGGAGCAAACAGGAUUAGAUACCCGAGUAGUC